This 550-nucleotide ribosomal RNA is filed under the name uncultured bacterium. RNAcentral describes it as "bacterial SSU rRNA". It matches the Rfam family "Bacterial small subunit ribosomal RNA", at positions 355 to 896 of the family's 1533-position model. The record is from RNAcentral.
UAGGGAAUCUUCGGCAAUGGGGGCAACCCUGACCGAGCAACGCCGCGUGAGUGAAGAAGGUUUUCGGAUCGUAAAGCUCUGUUGUAAGUCAAGAACGAGUGUGAGAGUGGAAAGUUCACACUGUGACGGUAGCUUACCAGAAAGGGACGGCUAACUACGUGCCAGCAGCCGCGGUAAUACGUAGGUCCCGAGCGUUGUCCGGAUUUAUUGGGCGUAAAGCGAGCGCAGGCGGUUUGAUAAGUCUGAAGUUAAAGGCUGUGGCUCAACCAUAGUUCGCUUUGGAAACUGUCAAACUUGAGUGCAGAAGGGGAGAGUGGAAUUCCAUGUGUAGCGGUGAAAUGCGUAGAUAUAUGGAGGAACACCGGUGGCGAAAGCGGCUCUCUGGUCUGUAACUGACGCUGAGGCUCGAAAGCGUGGGGAGCGAACAGGAUUAGAUACCCUGGUAGUCCACGCCGUAAACGAUGAGUGCUAGGUGUUGGGUCCUUUCCGGGAUUCAGUGCCGCAGCUAACGCAUUAAGCACUCCGCCUGGGGAGUACGACCGCAAGGUUG